GAUGAACGCUGGCGGCGUGCCUAAUACAUGCAAGUCGAGCGAACAGACGAGAAGCUUGCUUCUCUGUUGUUAGCGGCGCACGGGUGAGUAACACGUGGAUAAUCUACCUAUAAGACUGGGAUAACCUCGGGAAACCGUAGCUAAUACCGGAUAAUAUUUUGCACCGCAUUGUUCAAAAGUGAAAGACGGUCUUGCUGUCACUUAUAGAUGCUUCCCCGCUGCAUUAGCGAGUUGGUAAGUUAACGGCUUACCAAGGCAACGAUGCAUAGCCGACCGGGUAGGAGGAUAGGCGACACUGGAACUGAGACGCGGUCCAGACUCCUAAGAGAGGCAGCAGUAGGGAAUCUGCGGCAGUGGGCGAGAGCCUGACAGAGCGACGCCGCGUGGGUGAUGGAGGUCUUCGGAUCGUAAAACUCUGUUAUUAGGGGAGAACAUAUGUGUAAGUAACUGUGCAGAGCUUGACGGUACUUAAUAAGGAAGCCACGGCUAACUACGUG
This 497-nucleotide ribosomal RNA is filed under the name uncultured bacterium. RNAcentral's name for it is "partial 16S ribosomal RNA". It matches the Rfam family "Bacterial small subunit ribosomal RNA", at positions 28 to 507 of the family's 1533-position model. The record is from RNAcentral.